CAGUCGCCGCGGGAAUACGGAGGGGGCUAGCGUUGUUCGGAAUUACUGGGCGUAAAGCGCACGUAGGCGGCUUGGUAAGUUAGAGGUGAAAGCCUGGAGCUCAACUCCAGAAUUGCCUUUAAGACUGCCGAGCUAGCAGGUGAGAGAGGUGAGUGGAAUUCCGAGUGUAGAGGUGAAAUUCGUAGAUAUUCGGAAAAACACCAGUGGCGAAGGCGGCUUACUGGCUCAUACUGGACGCUGAGGUGCGAAAGCGUGGGGAGCAAACAGGAUUAGAUACCCCUGUAGUCCCUGUCUCUUAUAC
This 301-nucleotide ribosomal RNA is filed under the name uncultured bacterium. Its description in RNAcentral is "partial 16S ribosomal RNA". It matches the Rfam family "Bacterial small subunit ribosomal RNA", at positions 509 to 807 of the family's 1533-position model. The record is from RNAcentral.